CGCCACUAUUCCAUACGUGCGCACACUUACAAUUUGAUUAGAAGAAAAUAACAUUACUGAUAUUUUACAUACAUAAUUUUGCUACUUUUGUGAAUUACGAUUCAGAAUUAGUUAAAAGUGGAGAAUCAUAAAGCAUUAUUAUUAUUAUUAUCUAAUACCAAGCACUUAAGAGUCUCCCAGCAUCAAGGCAAGCAUAACAUAUCUGCUUAGAGGUAAGCCAACGUUGAUCCCAAUCACUGACCGUCACGCUCUUCGGCUUCGCAAUCUCAAUUCCCGCAACUUCCUUCCCUAAAUAUCUCAGCCCUGCCUUCAGUAGCCUCUUCUCAUUCAGCUCCGCCGGCGCCCAUUCCCUUAGAUCAACCGUGUUCGACACUUGAAGUCCAUAAUCCUCCCACAACUUUUUCUCAU
This 408-nucleotide long non-coding RNA is filed under the name Capsicum annuum. RNAcentral's name for it is "long non-coding RNA (CANN_LNC000936)". The record is from RNAcentral. Lineage: Eukaryota; Viridiplantae; Streptophyta; Magnoliopsida; Solanales; Solanaceae.